UACAGAGGUGGCGAGCGUUGUUCGGAUUUACUGGGCGUAAAGGGCGCGUAGGCGGCGUCGUGUGUCGGGUGUGAAAUCCCAGGGCCCAACCCUGGAAGUGCGCCCGAAACUGCGACGCUGGAGUGCGGGAGGGGAGAUCGGAAUGCAGGGUGUAGCGGUGAAAUGCGUUGAUAUCCUGCAGAACACCGGUGGCGAAGGCGGAUCUCUGGAACGCAACUGACGCUGAGGCGCGAAAGCCGGGGGAGCAAACAGG
RNAcentral lists this ribosomal RNA (253 nucleotides) under uncultured bacterium. RNAcentral describes it as "partial 16S ribosomal RNA". It matches the Rfam family "Bacterial small subunit ribosomal RNA", at positions 524 to 776 of the family's 1533-position model. The record is from RNAcentral.